UACGAAGGGGGCUAGCGUUGUUCGGAAUUACUGGGCGUAAAGCGCGCGCAGGCGGUUUUUCAAGUCAGUGGUGAAAUCCUGGAGCUCAACUCCAGAACUGCCUUCGAUACUGGCGAUCUCGAGUCCGGAAGAGGUGAGUGGAACUCCUAGUGUAGAGGUGGAAUUCGUAGAUAUUAGGAAGAACACCAGUGGCGAAGGCGGCUCACUGGUCCGGUACUGACGCUGAUGUGCGAAAGCGUGGGGAGCAAACAGG
This 253-nucleotide ribosomal RNA is filed under the name uncultured bacterium. RNAcentral describes it as "partial 16S ribosomal RNA". It matches the Rfam family "Bacterial small subunit ribosomal RNA", at positions 524 to 776 of the family's 1533-position model. The record is from RNAcentral.